UUCACACUUACAGUUCGUCGCCUUUGUUGUAGCCUACCAUCAGGUUUCUUUCUCUCGUGCUAUGGGAAUAUGGUGCGUCUACAAUUGAGGGAGACUGUUGUUUAGACCCAGAGCAUCUUCCUUGAAUCGCUCGCCGAUAUCUGACUAGGUUGUUAUUAAUGCAUUACCCAAUCUUACGUUGAAGGCACUGGAUAGAGCCUACGGGACUAGAUGAGAAGUGGUGACAGAGUGGCAUUCGCGCAAGAUCUACAUGUACCUAUCCGUACAUAGUUCCGCCAAGAUUGAUGACUGUCGUGGAGUCACCAGAAUAGGCAUCGUCACAUGCUAUGGCUUUGGCGAACAAAGUUUGUGGAAUCCUAACGCUAGCACUGGCGCUAUUGAUUUUAGUUUGCGGGGCAGUCCUACUCGGGCUUGGACUACCCAACGACAAACUCAUCCAGGCUGGUAUAGGUGGAUUCCUACUUCUUGUAAGUCUCUUCGUGCUGGCAGGCGGAAUCACACUUAUCCGAUCAAGCAGACAAGGGCGUGGUGCACGGAGCGAAGCGAGUACGGCAUCGGGAAUGCGUGGACAACUUGAAGACACUAAUAGAAUUCAACAGGAGGGUGAAGUGGUCAGACCAAUUAUUGCUAGACCAGUCAGUACAGUCGUAGCGAAUCCAGUGGCAUCGCACACUACCUCUACAACAAGCAUUGCGCGGCCGGUAGCACAAGCUGCUGGCGGGACCAUGCAGCCACCAGUUGGCAGGCCAGUCGCCUCCCCUCUACAGGAACAUCCGGACAUGCACGACUCAAGCCACGACGAAGAUAUCUGCAUCGUGUUUCCUGUGAUUGUGGUAGAGAGAGGCGAGAGUCGAGAAGAUUGCCCACCCUCGUACGAUACGGCCAUGAGACGGACUGGAACUACACCCGUCUAACAGUCAUUAAUUUUAAAUAUUGUAGCGAGAAAGGAAAUUUUUCCAGUUUGUUGUAUGCAUGUAUAACAUAAAUUAUAGUCUGAUGCAUUCUUCAAUAUUGUACGGCAGAUGUUAUAGCUUUUCAAAGUAGGUUUUCAAAGAUAACCUUUAGUUUGAGUGAGACCAGCAUACUCCUGUUUCUUGCGGUACAAGCUGAUUUUUACAGGAUACUGAAGUAGUUUCAUUCUUUCAUGUGUGCACGGUUUUCUUCGCGAAACGUUCAAAACAAUUCUAUUAAAACAAAACUAACCGCUUUUCUUUAUCUUUUGUAUUGUAUUGUAUUGUAUUGUAUUUUAUUAUCUUACUUGGGCAUUCCCAACAGACCCUAAGGUCUUCUUACAGGGUGCCCAAGAUGAAUGAAAUUGUUAAGUUCCUGGCGAAA
This is a long non-coding RNA of Sycon ciliatum, 1335 nucleotides long. RefSeq lists it as uncharacterized. The record is from RefSeq and is a predicted model, not a curated record. NCBI's taxonomy places the organism in Eukaryota, Metazoa, Porifera, Calcarea, Leucosolenida, Sycettidae. The transcript has 3 exons.